Molecule: non-coding RNA, 128 nt
Filed under: uncultured Mediterraneibacter sp.
Lineage: Bacteria; Bacillati; Bacillota; Clostridia; Lachnospirales; Lachnospiraceae
Description: yjdF RNA
Rfam family: azaaromatic riboswitch aptamer (yjdF RNA)
Source: RNAcentral
CAAGGAUAAAAACGCAACGCACAUUUUAAAUAUUAUUAUGCGCCAGAGCCGGUAGGUAGCCCGGCCGUCCCGCCUGUUGCGGCGGGGUAAGUAACCUGCCCCUCCGGGUUGUCCGUUCUUUGCUCAUA